CAAUGGAUCCGUCGGUCGUGCUACUGUCGCUGAUGCGUGCUUGUUGAGAGCAAGCGCAGAAAUGAGAACAAAAA
RNAcentral lists this small RNA (74 nucleotides) under Chaetoceros curvisetus. Its description in RNAcentral is "partial Cyanobacteria transfer-messenger RNA". Lineage: Eukaryota; Bacillariophyta; Thalassiosirophyceae; Chaetocerotales; Chaetocerotaceae. The record is from RNAcentral.